AACAAACGCUGGCGGCGUGCCUAAUACAUGCAAGUCGAACGGGGAAAGCUUUCGGGUGAGUACUAGUGGCGCACGGGUGAGGAACGCGUGGAUAAUCUGCCUUAGAGUGGGGGAUAACUAGUCGAAAGAUUAGCUAAUACCGCAUAAGACCACGAGAGCUGCGGCUUUUGAGGUCAAAGGUUUUUCGCUCUAAGAUGAGUCCGCGUAAGAUUAGCUAGUUGGUGAGGUAACGGCUCACCAAGGCGACGAUCUUUAACUGGUCUGAGAGGAUGAUCAGUCACCCUGGAACUGAGACACGGUCCAGCCUCCUACGGGGGGCAGCAGUAGUGAAUAUUGCACAAUGGAGGAAACUCUGAUGCAGCGGCGCCGCGUGGGUGAUGAAGGCCUUCGGGUCGUAAAGCUCUGUCGCAGGGGAAUAACACAAUGAAGGUACCCUGUAAGAAAGGAUCGGCUAACUUCGUG
RNAcentral lists this ribosomal RNA (462 nucleotides) under uncultured bacterium. RNAcentral describes it as "partial 16S ribosomal RNA". It matches the Rfam family "Bacterial small subunit ribosomal RNA", at positions 29 to 507 of the family's 1533-position model. The record is from RNAcentral.